Molecule: long non-coding RNA, 366 nt
Filed under: Salvia miltiorrhiza (redroot sage)
Lineage: Eukaryota; Viridiplantae; Streptophyta; Magnoliopsida; Lamiales; Lamiaceae
Description: long non-coding RNA (SMIL_LNC008520)
Source: RNAcentral
AGGGAUCGGCGAGUGGUGGCACCUCCUGACGUCGUCCCCUUCUCUCAUCUCUCAUUCUCGCUGAACCCUCCGCUCACAAGAAGACGGUGAAAGGUUUAGAAAAGGGGAAAAAUUUAGGGUUUUCUUUUGGUUUUAUUUUUCCAGUGAGAGACGAAGAGAGGGAGAAAGAAAGAGGGAUCACCGGUGUAAAGGCGAGGACGUUGCCGGAUCUUGAAAGGAAUAAGCGGUGGUCUCUGGCUCCGAAACCGCACUCGCCAAGACCAAGUAUUUGGGAGGCGACGAAUUCUCCUUGGCCGAUCUGAAAUGUGAGAAGGGCGAGACGCAGAGAGAAGGAGCUGAGGUUUUUUUUUUAAUAUAUAAGUUGGA